UACGUAGGGUGCAAGCGUUAAUCGGAAUUACUGGGCGCAAAGCGUGCGCAGGCGGUGAUGUAAGACAGAUGUGAAAAUCCCCGGGGCUCAACCUGGGAACUGUGUUUGUGACUGCAUCACUCGAGUACGGCAGAGGGAGGUGGAAUUCCGCGUGUAGCAGUGAAAAUGCGUAGAUAUGCGGAGGAACACCGAUGGCGAAGGCAGCCUCCUGGGCCAGUACUGACGCUCAUGCACG
RNAcentral lists this ribosomal RNA (235 nucleotides) under uncultured bacterium. RNAcentral's name for it is "partial 16S ribosomal RNA". It matches the Rfam family "Bacterial small subunit ribosomal RNA", at positions 524 to 755 of the family's 1533-position model. The record is from RNAcentral.